UUAAUUAUAAUAUAAGAUUAAAAUCAACACCUCGAUACAUGAAGAACGGGGUAGGUAAUGGAAUGGGAAGUUGGAAAACUGACUUGACGUUUCCCGUGUUUCAACUAGUAGGCCCUAGAGAGAAAGAAAAUACAUGGGGUGCCAAACCAGGGUACAUGGCAGAAGGAUUUCUGACCAUCCAACACGCUGUUGUCAUGGCUAUUGCAGAAUAUGUGAAAGGUUCGGGUGUUGUCGACUCCUUUAAAGUACAGAUGCAACGAUAUCCCUACCCCCCCUAUAAGAGUGAUCCAUUCCUUUUUGCCUUGCAGUUUUUUUUCCCGUUGAUUUUGAUUUUGAGUUUCAUCUAUCCAGCACUGAACAUUGUGAAAAACCUUGUGAUUGAAAAAGAAAGACGACUGAAAG
Long non-coding RNA from Limulus polyphemus (Atlantic horseshoe crab), 402 nucleotides. RefSeq lists it as uncharacterized. The transcript has 3 exons. The record is from RefSeq and is a predicted model, not a curated record. NCBI's taxonomy places the organism in Eukaryota, Metazoa, Arthropoda, Merostomata, Xiphosura, Limulidae.